This 4119-nucleotide unclassified non-coding RNA is filed under the name Daphnia magna. Its description in RNAcentral is "bifunctional heparan sulfate N-deacetylase/N- sulfotransferase-like, transcript variant X4". Lineage: Eukaryota; Metazoa; Arthropoda; Branchiopoda; Diplostraca; Daphniidae. The record is from RNAcentral.
CUGGCGACGCUGCUUCUAUUUCCCGCAUGUUCUUUCCGCAUUUAGUAUUGUAGUGUAUUGAACUUGUAUGACAUGUAAUGGCGUCAGUUAGUCUGAGACGAGAGUCAGAAGAGUAAGCUGGAAGUCAGCAGUUAGACGCGAGUCAGUCCCUAUGUGGUGUACGCCCACGUUGAGUCCUUUUCCCAUAGUACUAUUGUAACUUAGUGGUCCAGCGCUACAGAAUUCGUUAACGUCCGUCAUCAUCAAAUUUCGUGAGGUAGAAAUCGCUUGGGCAUCCGACGUAGAGGUGAUGUUCAGUCGCAUUCGUCUUAGGACCGAAGACUCACGUUAUUUUCGUUUUCUGUGGAACCGAAGAGGAGAAACAGAAUCGCGACUAUGUGAGAUGCGGAGACUACCGUUUGGGGCCACCUGUUCCCCAUUUAUUGCAAUCGCCACUACUCGAAGAGCAGCAGCUGAUUUUGCCGGACCCUCGUUCGUGUCCAAAGCCAUUGAACACAAGAUGUACGUGGACGAUUAUUUGAGUUCAGCGAAGACAAUCCAUCUUGCCAUUCAAUAAGCGACUGGAGUUCAAGAGGCGUUGGCGGCAGGUGAUCUAUAUCUCCAAGGAUGGAUCUCAAAUUCCGUUGAGUUCUUGAACCUGCUGUCCGUCGACGUCAAAGCUAGUCUCGUUGAAGAACGUUCCCUUGACGGAGACCAUGAAGAAAAGGUGCUUGGGGUGUACUGGAAUCCUACUACCGACGUGGUGAACCUCCGAGAGCUUCAGAUCCAGGGGUUUAAUGGACCGACGAGGUGACCGGAGAGGCAGAGCAGUGGUGGAAGAAAUGGUUCGAGACAUUGAAGCAGCUCAACGACUUAGAGAUUCCACGUUGUCUAUUCGAGAGGGAAGAUUUCAUCGUUCGGACGGAGUUGCACAGUUUUGGAGAUGCUUCAGAAGAGGCGUACGCUGCAGUGGUUUACCUGAGAAACGUGUACGUCGAUGGAACGGUGUUAGUCCGACAUGUACGAGCGUCGACGAAGCUGGCUCCGAAAAAGACGAUUUCCAUCCCUAAACUCGAAUUGAACGCAGCCUUGCUGGCGGCUAGAUUGGUGCGUACCCUACAAAUGGCUCUCACUCGUACCAUUCACGCACGUUAUUUGUGGACGGACAGCAGUACCGUGCGAAACUGGAUCAGAGCAACUGCAUCCAAAUACCAAGUGUACGUCAGUCACCGUAAAGGCGAGAUUCAAACGUUGACAGAGCCACAGGAGUGGAGGUUUCUGCCAGGUCGGAUUAAUCCGGCAGACGUUGCGACCCGUUCCACGCUCGGAGAAGAGAUCUUUCCGUCUUACUGGUGGUGUGGCGUAGAAUUCCUACAACAUCCCGAAGAUCGUUGGCCAGCUGAUCUGCCCUGGAUGGUGGAGGUUGAAGAGAUUCGGCCAGUUCGUGCUAACGUGGUCCAGUGCGAAUCGUCGGCGCUGGACUGGGAGAAGAUGAAGAUUACAGUUGAGGAGAUCCCAGCGUUGGUGAAGCUGCAAGACCCCUUCCUCGAACUUGUACGACGGGGUCAAGAGGAGGUGUAUUCUGCAGAGCUUAGUUGUCUACAGAAAGGAAAGUGGAUCCCUUCCACCUCAAGUCUGUUAACGUUAUCACCGAUACUCGGAAAGGACGGAUUAAUUCGGCUAGGGGGUAGAGCUGGACGCGCUCAACUGCCUUACGAAGAAAUUCAUCCUCCUGUACUCCCAGCAGGACAUAAGUUUACCGUGAACGUUGUCAGGGCUUUCCACUUGAUGCUCAAACACGUCGGGACUGACUACCAAAUUAGUUUUAUUAGACAACACUUUUGGAUUCCCCGCGGUCGGGAAUUAGUCAAGAAGGUUCGUCGGGAAUGCACCGUUUGUCGAAGAGAGCGAGCCAAGCCGGGUGAGCAGCUCAUGGCGGAACUUCACGGAUCACGUUUGGAAGCAGGAACCCCGCCUUUCACGCGAACAGCUUGCGAUCUGUUCGGUCCACUGGACGUAGGCCUGUCUAGAAAUAGAACCGCCAAAAGGGCACUCUACUGAGCGUUAGAUGCAGAGAAAUUGAAGUUGCAGUAUCCGUCUGAAGAAACGUUACGUACUUUAUUAUACGAAGUAGCCGGCUUAUUGAAUGGGCGACCGCUGACAGCCGCGAGCAAUGAUCCAGCCGGUUUCCGACCGUUAACUCUGGCCGACUUUCUGAACCGGGGCAACACGGCGUGCCCACCCGUCGGCCACUUUGAGGACGCCCUACCUCGAGAGAGAUACAGAUACUUGCAACGUGUACUCAAUCUGUGUUGGGACAUUUGGAAGAAAGUUUAUUUGCAGUCUUUGGUUUCCCGUUCCAAAUGGAAGAACCCGAAACCUAAUUUUGCUGUUGGAGAUGUGGUACUCGAAAUCAACAGCUCUUUGAGAAGAAGCCAGUGGAAUCUUGGAAGGGUUACGAAAACCUAUCCCGGAGCUGACGGAUUAGUUCGUGUCGUGGACGUUCAAUUUGAGAGAGGCCUAUUUCGACGAGGAAUUGGACAGCUAGCUCUGCUGAAGACCGGCUCAUCCGCUGGAUCGCCCUAACGACCCAUCCGAUUCGGGGGAGUAUGGUCUGGCGACACUGCUUCCAUUUCCCGCAUGUUCUUUCCGCGUUUUAGUAUUGUAGUGUAUUGAACUUGUAUGACAUGUAAUGGCGUCAGUUAGUCUGAGACGAGAGUCAGAAGAGUAAGCUGGAAGUCAGCAGUUAGACGCGAGUCAGUCCCUAUGUGGUGUACGCCCACGUUGAGUCCUUUUCCCAUAGUACUAUUGUAACUUAGUGCUAUUCUCCAGCCUCGAAGUGAGGACUGUGGAGAGUUUGAUGGAAUUCAGCGAAUCUUAUUUGGAUCUGGGUUAGACUUCUGGCUCCACCGUCUUCUCUUUCUAGAUGCCAUGUCUUUUUUAUCACAUGGGCGGUUGUCAACAAGCUUGCAACGCUACAUUCAAGUUGACAUAGACGACAUCUUUGUUGGCCAGAAAGGCACACGCCUCACUCCCAAGUGAUGUGGAGAGCAUCAUCAAUACCCAAAAUCGUAUUCGAACGAUUGUUCCUGGCUUCAGAUUUAAUAUGGGAUAUUCCGGCAAGUUCUUUAACCAUGGAACUGACGAAGAGAACAAAGGAGAUGAAUAUCUUUCUAUUCAUUCAUUCGUUUGUCCAGUUAACAAAUAAAAUUAUUUUAUUUAUUUAUUUUUUAUUAUUUUUACCAGAACACGCCAAUGAGUUUACGUGGUUUGGGCAUAUGUGGAGUCACCAGCAACCACACCUAUAUGAGAAUAUUUCCUUAUUGGAAGCAGAUAUGCUUCUUAAUAAAAAAUUUGCGAUUGAACAUGGCAUUCCAACAGACUCUGGUUAUUCCGUAUCUCCACAUCACUCAGGGGUCUAUCCUGUCCAUGAAGCGCUGUACGAAAUGUGGAAAAAGCUUUGGAAUAUUCAUGUCACGUCUACAGAGGAGUAUCCGCACUUAAGACCUGCUCGACUGCGCCGUGGAUUUAUCCAUAGGGGGAUCAUGUAAUGCUUUUUUAUCAAACGUAAAAUGGCUCUCAAUUACAUAAGGUGCUUCCGAGACAAAAUUGUGGACUCUAUACCCACACCAUUUUUAUCGACAAGUAUCCUGGUGGUCGCUCGACAUUAGAUAGCAGGAUUAAAGGAGGGGAGCUUUUCCAGACGAUCGUCUUUAACAGGGUAUGGUAAACAUGGGAAAUAUCGUUAUGUCUGAUUAAUUGCAUUGAGAUCAUGUCGCCUGUGGCUAUUUUGCUGUCUUGACCAAAAAGGGCCUGAACAUAGUUUUAUAUGUCAAAGACGGAAUUUACUAGGUCGAAAGCGAAAAGGAAUAACUUUUGAAAGAAAUUGACAUGAAAUUAACUGUAUUUUCUUGUGUUCACAGAUUUACUUUGUAUCCGGAGUGCGUCAUUCUGACGAAUGAGCACGAGGAUUCAAUUACAUAAGUUUGGUGAUGGUACAAGAAGAAAGAGGAAAGGAAGUGUAAACAAAAAAAUAGAAUUUAAAUUUUACACGAGUUUCUAUUCCGAAAAAUUGCUAAUAAAAAAUAGUUAAUAAGGUCUAUUUGGAUCUACUUGGAAAUAAAACCUGUGACAUACAAA